RNAcentral lists this long non-coding RNA (217 nucleotides) under Hordeum vulgare. RNAcentral describes it as "long non-coding RNA (HVUL_LNC004846)". The record is from RNAcentral. Lineage: Eukaryota; Viridiplantae; Streptophyta; Magnoliopsida; Poales; Poaceae.
UUUGCUUUUGAUUGAUAUUGUGUAUGACUAUGAUUGGAUCUUCGUUGCUAUGAAUUACAAUGUUUAGUCAGCCCUUGAUCUUUGAAAGUGCUCUGCAUUUUUGUUUUGUGGUCUCAGAAAGAGCUAGUGAGAAACCACCUAUUCAUGUUGCUUCAUGCUUGUUUUGAUUGAAUUGUUGGUAUCUGAAACUCAUUAUUAUUUGCUCGCUAGUUGAUUA